ACGACUCUCGGCAACGGAUAUCUCGGCUCUCGCAUCGAUGAAGAACGUAGCGAAAUGCGAUACUUGGUGUGAAUUGCAGAAUCCCGUGAACCAUCGAGUCUUUGAACGCAAGUUGCGCCCGAAGCCUCGGCUGAGGGCACGUCUGCCUGGGUGUCAC
RNAcentral lists this ribosomal RNA (157 nucleotides) under Terminalia bellirica (bibhitaki). RNAcentral's name for it is "5.8S ribosomal RNA". It matches the Rfam family "5.8S ribosomal RNA". From Rfam's summary of the family: 5.8S ribosomal RNA (5.8S rRNA) is a component of the large subunit of the eukaryotic ribosome. It is transcribed by RNA polymerase I as part of the 45S precursor that also contains 18S and 28S rRNA. The record is from RNAcentral. Lineage: Eukaryota; Viridiplantae; Streptophyta; Magnoliopsida; Myrtales; Combretaceae.